AACGGCGAGUGAAGCGGUAACAGCUCAAAUUUGAAAUCUGGCCUCACGGUCCGAGUUGUAAUUUGUAGAGGAUGCUUCGAGCAUGGUCUGGCCUAAGUUCCUUGGAACAGGACGUCAUAGAGGGUGAGAAUCCCGUAUGCGGCCAGGUGCCUACGCUCAUGUGAAGCUCCUUCGACGAGUCGAGUUGUUUGGGAAUGCAGCUCAAAAUGGGUGGUAAAUUUCAUCUAAAGCUAAAUAUUGGCCAGAGACCGAUAGCGCACAAGUAGAGUGAUCGAAAGAUGAAAAGCACUUUGGAAAGAGAGUUAAACAGUACGUGAAAUUGUUGAAAGGGAAGCGCUUGCAACCAGACUUGCGCGCGGCCGAUCAUCCGGUGUUCUCACCGGUGCACUCGGCCGUGCUCAGGCCAGCAUCGGUUUUGGCGGCUGGAUAAAGGCCCUAGGAAUGUAGCUCCUCUCGGGGAGUGUUAUAGCCUAGGGUGCAAUGCAGCCUGCUGGGACCGAGGACCGCGCUUCGGCUAGGAUGCUGGCGUAAUGGUUGUAAGCGGCCCGUCUUGAAACACGGACCAAGGAGUCUAACAUCUAUGCGAGUGUUUGGGUGUCAAACCCAUACGCGUAAUGAAAGUGAACGGAGGUGAGAACCCUUAAGGGUGCAUCAUCGACCGGUCCUGAAGUUUACGGAAGGAUCUGAGUAAGAGCAUAGCUGUUGGGACCCGAAAGAUGGUGAACUAUGCCUGAAUAGGGUGAAGCCAGAGGAAACUCUGGUGGAGGCUCGCAGCGGUUCUGACGUGCAAAUCGAUCGUCAAAUU
Molecule: ribosomal RNA, 805 nt
Filed under: Pseudogymnoascus sp.
Lineage: Eukaryota; Fungi; Ascomycota; Leotiomycetes; Thelebolales; Thelebolaceae
Description: partial large subunit ribosomal RNA
Rfam family: Eukaryotic large subunit ribosomal RNA
Source: RNAcentral